This 503-nucleotide ribosomal RNA is filed under the name uncultured bacterium. RNAcentral describes it as "bacterial SSU rRNA". It matches the Rfam family "Bacterial small subunit ribosomal RNA", at positions 21 to 518 of the family's 1533-position model. The record is from RNAcentral.
GGCUCAGGAUGAACGCUAGCGACAGGCCUAACACAUGCAAGUCAGGGGCAGCGGGAUUGAAGCUUGCUUAAUGCCGGCGACCGGCGCACGGGUGCGUAACAGGUGUGCAAUCUGUCCAUAGUCGGGGAAUAGCCCAGCGAAAGUUGGAUUAAUGCUCCAUGUGUCACGAAGCCGCAUGACUUUGUGAUGAAACGUAAGGACUAUGGGUGAGCACGCUUCUGAUUAGAUAGUUGGUGGGGUAACGGCUCACCAAGUCGACGAUCAGUAGGGGUUCUGAGAGGAAGGUCCCCCACAUUGGAACUGAGACACGGUCCAAACUCCUACGGGAGGCAGCAGUGAGGAAUAUUGGUCAAUGGGCGAGAGCCUGAACCAGCCAAGUCGCGUGAAGGAAUGAAGGUUCUAUGGAUUGUAAACUUCUUUUGUCCGAGGGUAAAAAAGGUCACGUGUGGCUUCUUGCAAGUAUCGGACGAAUAAGCAUCGGCUAACUCCGUGCCAGCAGCUGC